RNAcentral lists this ribosomal RNA (395 nucleotides) under uncultured bacterium. RNAcentral describes it as "partial 16S ribosomal RNA". It matches the Rfam family "Bacterial small subunit ribosomal RNA", at positions 523 to 918 of the family's 1533-position model. The record is from RNAcentral.
AUACGUAGGGUGCAAGCGUUAAUCGGAAUUACUGGGCGUAAAGCGUGCGCAGGCGGUUUUGUAAGACAGAGGUGAAAUCCCCGGGCUCAACCUGAGAACUGCCUUUGUGACUGCAAGGCUAGAGUACGGCAGAGGGGGAUGGAAUUCCGCGGGUAGCAGUGAAAUGCGUAGAUAUGCGGAGGAACACCGAUGGCGAAGGCAAUCCCCUGGGCCUGUACCGACGCUCAUGCACGAAAGCGUGGGGAGCAAACAGGAUUAGAUACCCUGGUAGUCCACGCCCUAAACGAUGUCAACUGGUUGUUGGGUCUUCAUUGACUCAGUAACGAAGCUAACGCGUGAAGUUGACCGCCUGGGGAGUACGGCCGCAAGGUUGAAACUCAAAUGAAUCGACGGGG